This 71-nucleotide transfer RNA is filed under the name Filchnerella beicki. RNAcentral's name for it is "tRNA-Val". The record is from RNAcentral. Lineage: Eukaryota; Metazoa; Arthropoda; Insecta; Orthoptera; Pamphagidae.
CAAGGUGGAGCUUGUUAGUUAAGUAUUUCAUUUACACUGAAAAUAUUUCUGUGCAAUUCAGGAUACCUUGA